This 848-nucleotide ribosomal RNA is filed under the name uncultured archaeon. RNAcentral's name for it is "bacterial SSU rRNA". It matches the Rfam family "Archaeal small subunit ribosomal RNA", at positions 71 to 922 of the family's 1478-position model. The record is from RNAcentral.
AUAAUACGUGGCGAACGGCUCAGUAACACGUAGUCAACAUGCCCAAAGGACGUGGAUAACCUCGGGAAACUGAGGAUAAACCGCGAUAGGUCAUAAGUACUGGAAUGUUUUAUGGCUCAAAUCUACAUGGCCUCUGGAUUGGACUGCGGCCGAUCAGGCUGUUGGUGAGGUAAUGGCCCACCAAACCUUUUACCGGUACGGGCUCUGAGAGGAGGAGCCCGGAGAUGGGCACUGAGACAAGGGCCCAGGCCCUAUGGGGCGCAGCAGGCGCGAAACCUCUGCAAUAGGCGAAAGCUUGACAGGGUUACUCUGAGUGAUUCCCGCUAAGGGAAUCUUUUGGCAUCUCUAAAAACGAUGCAGAAUAAGGGGUGGGCAAGUCUGGUGUCAGCCGCCGCGGUAAUACCAGCACCCCGAGUGGUCGGGACGAUUAUUGGGCCUAAAGCAUCCGUAACCGGUCUUGCAAGUCUUCCGUUAAAUCCACCUGCUUAACAGAUGGGCUGCGGAAGAUACUACAAGACUAGGAGGCGGGAGAGGCAAGCGGUACUCAGUGGGUAGGGGUAAAAUCCUCUGAUCCAUUGAAGACCACCAGUGGCGAAGGCGGCUUGCCAGAACGCGCUCGACGGUGAGGGAUGAAAGCUGGGGGAGCAAACCGGAUUAGAUACCCGGGUAGUCCCAGCUGUAAACGAUGCAGACUCGGUGAUGGGCCGGCUUCAUGCCGGCUCAGUGCCGCAGGGAAGCCGUUAAGUCUGCCGCCUGGGGAGUACGGUCGCAAGACUGAAACUUAAAGGAAUUGGCGGGGGAGCACCACAAGGGGUGAAGCCUGCGGUUCAAUUGGAUUCAACGCCGGG